This is a non-coding RNA of Caenorhabditis elegans, 21 nucleotides long. NCBI's taxonomy places the organism in Eukaryota, Metazoa, Nematoda, Chromadorea, Rhabditida, Rhabditidae. The record is from Ensembl.
UUUUUUAAUUGAUCAACAAAA